Molecule: unclassified non-coding RNA, 304 nt
Filed under: Weissella confusa
Lineage: Bacteria; Bacillati; Bacillota; Bacilli; Lactobacillales; Lactobacillaceae
Description: partial 16S-23S ribosomal RNA intergenic spacer
Source: RNAcentral
CCAUCUUACUGACGUUGAUGAUAUAAGUUUGAGUAUGUGGCUCAAGGCCCAAGCGAUUUUAAACUAAUUAAAAAACUCAAAAAAUAACGCGGGGUAUUUUUUCGGCUCAUUUUAUAUUGCUAAACAAUAUUAAAUGAAUUUAAAAAUUUACAAUUUUGAUUCAGUUUUCAAAGACCUAAGUUUGAGCGUAAAUCCCUCAAAACUGAUUAUCGUUUCAACGAAUGUGGAGGUUUCCCAUUUUCCUUAGAAAGGGGGGGAUCCACCCCCCCGUUCUCCUCCGGCUCCCUUGUUCCACCUCCACAAU